UUGACCUCAAAUCAGGUAGGACUACCCGCUGAACUUAAGCAUAUCAAUAAGCGGAGGAAAAGAAACUAACAAGGAUUCCCCUAGUAACUGCGAGUGAAGCGGGAUAAGCUCAAAUUUGAAAUCUGGCAGUCUUUUUUUUCUUCUUUGGCUGUCCGAGUUGUAAUCUAGAGAAGUGCUACCUGCACUGGACCAUGUAUAAGUCUCCUGGAAUGGAGCCUCACAGAGGGUGAGAAUCCCGUCUUUGACAUGGACCGCCAGUGUGUUGUGGUGUGCUCUCAAAGAGUCGAGUUGUUUGGGAAUGCAGCUCUAAAUGGGUGGUAAACUCCAUCUAAAGCUAAAUAUUGGCGAGAGACCGAUAGCGAACAAGUACCGUGAGGGAAAGAUGAAAAGGACUUUGGAAAGAGAGUUAAACAGUAUGUGAAAUUGUUGAAAGGGAAACGCUUGAAGUCAGUUAUGUUGGCUAGGGAUCAACCUAGCUAUUUUUGCUGGGUGAAUUUCCUAGUUUGACAGGCCAACAUCAGUCUUGACUGCUGGAAAAGAGCAGAGGGAAUGUGGCACCUUUGGGUGUGUUAUAGCCUUUUGUCAUAUGUGGCAGUUGGGACUGAGGGAUGCAGCGUGCCGCGAGGCUGGGUUUCGACCACGUUCACGCUUAGGAUGUUGGCUUUUAAUGGCUUCAAUCGACCCGUCUUGAAACACGGACCAAGGAGUCUAACAUGCCUGCGAGUGUUUGGGUGGAAAACCCUUGUGCACAAUGAAAGUGAAAGUUGAGAUCCCUGUCAUGGGGAGCAUCGACGCCCGGACUGGAGCUUUUAGCAAUGGAUCCGCGGUAGAGCAUGCAUGUUGGGACCCGAAAGAUGGUGAACUAUGCCUGAAUAGGGCAAAGCCAGAGGAAACUCUGGUGGAGGCUCGUAGCGAUUCUGACGUGCAAAUCGAUCGUCAAAUUUGGGUAUAGGGGCGAAAGACUAAUCG
Molecule: ribosomal RNA, 969 nt
Filed under: Amanita rhacopus
Lineage: Eukaryota; Fungi; Basidiomycota; Agaricomycetes; Agaricales; Amanitaceae
Description: eukaryotic LSU rRNA
Rfam family: Eukaryotic large subunit ribosomal RNA
Source: RNAcentral